RNAcentral lists this ribosomal RNA (119 nucleotides) under Pteropus alecto (black flying fox). Lineage: Eukaryota; Metazoa; Chordata; Mammalia; Chiroptera; Pteropodidae. The record is from RNAcentral.
UGCUACAGCCAUGCCACUGUGAACACACUCGAUCCUAUCAGAUCUCGGAAGCUAAGCAGAGUUGGGCUUGGUUAGUACUUGGAUGGGAGACCACCUAGGAAGACCAAGUGCUAUAGGUG